This 483-nucleotide ribosomal RNA is filed under the name uncultured bacterium. Its description in RNAcentral is "bacterial SSU rRNA". It matches the Rfam family "Bacterial small subunit ribosomal RNA", at positions 53 to 507 of the family's 1533-position model. The record is from RNAcentral.
ACAUGCAAGUCGCACGAGAACGCUUCAGCUUGCUGGAGCUAGUAAAGUGGCGCACGGGUGAGUAACGCGUGGGUAAUCUACCUCCAAAUUGGGGAUAACAUUGCGAAAGCGAUGCUAAUACCGAAUAAUAUCUCAAAAACUUCGGCUUUUGAGAUCAAAGGUGGCCUCUCCAUGGAAGCUACUGUUAGGAGAUGAGCCCGCGUACCAUUAGCUUGUUGGUAGGGUAAUGGCCUACCAAGGCAACGAUGGUUAGCUGGUCUGAGAGGAUGAUCAGCCACACUGGAACUGACACACGGUCCAGACUCUUACGGGAGGCAGCAGUGAGGAAUUUUGCGCAAUGGGGGAAAACCCUGACGCAGCAACGCCGCGUGAGUGAUGAAGGCUUUCGGGUCGUAAAGCUCUGUCAAGUGGGAAGAACCUGCCCUGUGCUAAUAUCACCGGGCACUGACGGUACCACUGAAGGAAGCACCGGCUAACUCCGUG